Molecule: ribosomal RNA, 691 nt
Filed under: Rhodonellum sp. PE-R2A-16
Lineage: Bacteria; Pseudomonadati; Bacteroidota; Cytophagia; Cytophagales; Cytophagaceae
Description: bacterial SSU rRNA
Rfam family: Bacterial small subunit ribosomal RNA
Source: RNAcentral
AGUGGCGCACGGGUGCGUAACGCGUAUGCAACCUACCUUAUACAGGGGGAUAGCCCGGGGAAACCCGGAUUAAUACCCCGUGGCAUUGAUUUCUCGCAUGGGAUAUUGAUUAAAGCCUUCGGGCGGUAUAAGACGGGCAUGCGUAGGAUUAGCUAGUUGGUAAGGUAACGGCUUACCAAGGCGACGAUCCUUAGGGGUUCUGAGAGGAAGGUCCCCCACACUGGCACUGAGAUACGGGCCAGACUCCUACGGGAGGCAGCAGUAGGGAAUAUUGGGCAAUGGUCGCAAGACUGACCCAGCCAUGCCGCGUGCAGGAAGACGGCGUUAUGCGUUGUAAACUGCUUUUAUACGGGAAGAAAACGCCACUGCGGUGGAACUUGCCGGUACCGUAUGAAUAAGCACCGGCUAACUCCGUGCCAGCAGCCGCGGUAAUACGGAGGGUGCAAGCGUUGUCCGGAUUUAUUGGGUUUAAAGGGUGCGUAGGCGGCCGAUUAAGUCAGCGGUGAAAGUACAGGGCUCAACCCUGUAACUGCCAUUGAUACUGGUCGGCUUGAGUGUUGAUGGGGUACAUGGAAUUUAUGGUGUAGCGGUGAAAUGCAUAGAUACCAUAAGGAACACCGAUAGCGAAGGCAUUGUACUUAUCAACAACUGACGCUGAGGCACGAAAGCGUGGGUAGCGAACAGGAUUAGA